Non-coding RNA from Acanthosepion pharaonis, 113 nucleotides. The record is from the annotation of a GenBank genome assembly. Lineage: Eukaryota; Metazoa; Mollusca; Cephalopoda; Sepiida; Sepiidae.
UACGGCAACAUCACGUUGAAACACCGUUUCCCGUACGAUCACCGAAGUUAAGCAACGUCAUGCAUGGUCACUACCUAGAAGGGGUACCACUUUGGAAUACCAAGUGCUGUAAG